Molecule: long non-coding RNA, 304 nt
Filed under: Crocodylus porosus (Australian saltwater crocodile)
Lineage: Eukaryota; Metazoa; Chordata; Crocodylia; Crocodylidae
Description: lncRNA (ENSCPRG00005012976.1)
Source: RNAcentral
CUGCAUACAGAAUCAACAAGAUAACUUGUCAAUUAGCAUUGCAGUAGAGUGCAACUUUCUGUUUACGUUCUGAACAAAGAAUAUCCAUCCUUUUGAUUGGUGCCCAAUACAGCAAGCUGCAGCAGAGAGGGAAUUUAUAAUGAUCACAGUAAAUGCUGACACCAUUGGAACAAAUGUGCUUGCAAAUCAAAUAGAAAUACACUCCAUUGGACUCAUGAGCUUUUAAAGUGCUUUGUCACAGAGGUAGGUGUAUUUUGCAGGAACUCAAGUUUUACGGUUUAAUUCAGAUGCUUUGUAAUUAACU